Molecule: ribosomal RNA, 374 nt
Filed under: uncultured prokaryote
Description: bacterial SSU rRNA
Rfam family: Bacterial small subunit ribosomal RNA
Source: RNAcentral
UACGGGGGGUGCAAGCGUUAUUCGGAAUCAUUGGGCGUAAAGGGCGCGUAGGCGGUUUUUUAAGUCGGAUGUGAAAGCCCGGGGCUUAACCCCGGAAGUGCAUUUGAAACUGAAAGACUUGAGUAUGGGAGAGGGAAGUGGAAUUCCUGGUGUAGAGGUGAAAUUCGUAGAUAUCAGGAGGAACACCGGUGGCGAAGGCGACUUCCUGGACCAAUACUGACGCUGAGGCGCGAAGGCGUGGGUAGCAAACAGGAUUAGAUACCCUGGUAGUCCACGCAGUAAACGGUGAACACUAGGUGUAGCGGGUAUUGACCCCUGCUGUGCCGAAGUUAACGCAUUAAGUGUUCCGCCUGGGAAGUACGAUCGCAAGAUUA